Molecule: ribosomal RNA, 460 nt
Filed under: uncultured bacterium
Lineage: Bacteria
Description: partial 16S ribosomal RNA
Rfam family: Bacterial small subunit ribosomal RNA
Source: RNAcentral
CCUACGGGGGGCAGCAGUGAGGAAUAUUGGUCAAUGGACGAGAGUCUGAACCAGCCAAGUAGCGUGAAGGAUGACUGCCCUAUGGGUUGUAAACUUCUUUUAUAUGGGAAUAAAAUGUUCCACGUGUGGGUUUUUGUAUGUACCAUAUGAAUAAGGAUCGGCUAACUCCGUGCCAGCAGCCGCGGUAAUACGGAGGAUCCGAGCGUUAUCCGGAUUUAUUGGGUUUAAAGGGAGCGUAGGUGGAUUGUUAAGUCAGUUGUGAAAGUUUGCGGCUCAACCGUAAAAUUGCAGUUGAAACUGGCAGUCUUGAGUACAGUAGAGGUAGGCGGAAUUCGUGGUGUAGCGGUGAAAUGCUUAGAUAUCACGAAGAACUCCGAUGGCGAAGGCAGCUCACUGGACUGCAACUGACACUGAGGCUCGAAAGUGUGGGUAUCAAACAGGAUUAGAUACCCCAGUAGUC